UUGACAAGCGGGAAAUUGAACGAGUCACACGGCGUGUCUUGCGAGAGGCAGAGAGGGGAGAUGGCCAACAAGACCCCCGAACUAGCCAGGCUACCUCCGCUUUAUCGGCUGUGACCAGUGACCACCACUCCGACCAGGAAACUGCGAUCCAGAUCAAGCUUGGCCAUCACGAGCUCUGGCCCCGUUCUUCCUGCUGUCUGCAUGAUUUGCAAGAAAGACAGCAAAUUUAUCGUCGCGAGUGGCAGACGUCAAAGAGAACGAAAACACAGACUUUAACCGCAGGCAAGUUGCAGGAAGCAGCUGAAGUAAAGGAAGCCAAGAGCAUCCUCAUUCACAUCAAGGACAGAGACUGUGUGGCUCUGGAGGUGCAGUACCACAGAAGUUGCUACAGAGAGUACACAAGGUUUUUGAGUGAGCCUGUCAGAGCAGAGAAAGAACAGAUUGGGCCAACAUUUGAUCUGAGCUACAAGUUAUUCUGCGAGAGGGUAAUCCGCUAAAGGCUACUGAUCAACCAAGAGGUGCUGAGGAUGAGCCAACUGAGGAAGGCCUUUAUUGCCCUUGUGCAGUCAAGUGAAGGUGUUGAUGCUUCAACCUACAGACAGGAUAUAUUGAAGAAGAGGCUCAGUCGUGAUUUUCCUCAGCUAGUGUUCCACACCCCCGCCAAACGCAACACAUCUGAACUGGUUUUUGCUGAGAACUUGUCGACGAAUGCAGUCUUGGACUUGUUACCAUCAGGUGCGGAGACGACUCAGUCCAGCGAAAUGAGCCAGACAGACAGCGACACAGAAAGGAGGAAGUCAAAGCAACCAACCACAGCAGAGGAGACACGGACACUUUACACAGCAGCUUUGCUUUUGAAGAGGCUGCUUAGUCACAGUCCUGGCAUGUCAUGCCCAUGGCCCCCAACUGCAGUAAACUUCAAUCUCACUGAAGUCAUUUGCUGUGGCAUGCGCAAAAGAUGUGUACCUGGAUGCUUUCACACAGUUCAUGAAAAUGCCGGUUCAUGUGUAUGCCACUUGUUUUGAUUUUUUUAUUUGUUGUAUAGUUAUUAGUGAAUAAAUGAAUACAUGAA
Long non-coding RNA from Engraulis encrasicolus (European anchovy), 1072 nucleotides. RefSeq lists it as uncharacterized. The transcript has 4 exons. NCBI's taxonomy places the organism in Eukaryota, Metazoa, Chordata, Actinopteri, Clupeiformes, Engraulidae. The record is from RefSeq and is a predicted model, not a curated record.